GACCCUGCUUUUGGCAGAGCACACAGCU
This 28-nucleotide small RNA is filed under the name Bombyx mori (domestic silkworm). RNAcentral describes it as "ovarian small RNA-15478". The record is from RNAcentral. Lineage: Eukaryota; Metazoa; Arthropoda; Insecta; Lepidoptera; Bombycidae.